RNAcentral lists this ribosomal RNA (440 nucleotides) under uncultured bacterium. RNAcentral's name for it is "partial 16S ribosomal RNA". It matches the Rfam family "Bacterial small subunit ribosomal RNA", at positions 338 to 795 of the family's 1533-position model. The record is from RNAcentral.
CCUACGGGCGACAGCAGUGGGGAAUAUUGCACAAUGGGGGAAACCCUGAUGCAGCGACGCCGCGUGAGGGAAGAAGGUUUUCGGAUUGUAAACCUCUGUCUUUGGUGACGAAAGAUGACGGUAGCCAAAGAGGAAGCUACGGCUAACUACGUGCCAGCAGCCGCGGUAAUACGUAGGUGGUAAGCGUGGUCCUGAUUUACUGGGGGUAAGGGGAGCGUAGGCGGGAAGAGAAGUUGAAGUUUUAAACUACCGGCUCAACCGAGAAUCGCGUUUGAAACUGUUUGUCUUGAGUGAAGUAGAGGCAGGCGGAAUUCCUAGUGUAGCGGUGAAAUGCGUAGAUAUUACGAGGAACACCAGUGGCGAAGGCGGCCUGCUGGGCUUUAACUGACGCUGAGGCUCGAAAGCGUGGGUAGCAAACAGGAUUAGAUACCCCUGUAGUC